Molecule: long non-coding RNA, 963 nt
Organism: Dromaius novaehollandiae (emu)
Lineage: Eukaryota; Metazoa; Chordata; Aves; Casuariiformes; Dromaiidae
Exons: 2
Source: RefSeq, a predicted model, not a curated record
AUUAUUCCUGGAGUACCUGGUGCUCCUCCUCCACCGGCUGCAUGGCUGACUGAAGCUACAGCCUGGCCCUAAUUUUGCAGCUAGUCUGAACAAGCACAGUAAACAGUUCAAAGCAUUCCUGGCACCGAGGAGCAGACAUAAGCAAGAAAUGUCUUUUACCAGUCGAUAUCCCAAAACGACAGAAUAUAUUUUCCAGUUAUGAACUGUGGAAAAGAAUUAUGAGUUAUGAACUCCAGAUAGACAGUUUGUACUGUACCUUCCAUUUCAGCCAGAGAUGUGAAACAGAUUCUUGAAUCUGCAGUCAGAACAAGAUCUCCCACUGACGUCACUGUUAGGAUAGACAGAUUUUUCCAAACAGGGGAACAGAUACGAUUGUGGCAAAUAUUCUUCAGUAAGAAACCAAGUGACUACCAGUGGGACACAGAAAAAAAAGAAGACAAGACAUGCACCAAGCCAAACAGCGAUCUGUUAUAGCGAGUGCAACUGAGAUCAGAAUCCGACUCACUGUCUCUUUUACACUGUCAAGGCAGCAGGCAGCUUCUCCGUGCAGGAACGGUGAUCCACUUCUAGAAAUCUCCCAGCUGCCACACCAUCCUCUGUGUUCAGUCUCCGGGUCUCCGUGGCAGUCAAAUUCUACCUGCUGGUAGAUGAAGCACACGGGAACAUGCACUGCCUAGGAGUAAAAAUGAUAAAGAACGAAGUCAGAUCAUCUUAAUUAUCUAAAUUCAAACUUACAUUUAAUGACUGGAUUUUCUACUGGGUUUGCACAACUGCUUCAUCUCAACAUUUUAAGCAUUUUGCUGUUUAAGCCAUAAGCUUCUUAAAGGGGGAGAGGGGAAAAAAGCCCUUGAUAUAAUACCAUGAAAUCAAAGAGCAAGCUGACUGGAAAAAACAGUUGCUAUAUUUAAACUGCAUUAUCCUAUCACAGAACUGCAGUUUUAAAGCCUUUCCACUUUGAUACAG